Molecule: unclassified non-coding RNA, 233 nt
Filed under: Hevea brasiliensis (rubber tree)
Lineage: Eukaryota; Viridiplantae; Streptophyta; Magnoliopsida; Malpighiales; Euphorbiaceae
Source: RNAcentral
UAUAUAUAGCUGCUGCAGCCUUGAGAACUUAGCUUGGUGUCGUGGUAGAUGAUAAGGACACCACGUUUAGCUAGGUGUCGUGGUAGAUGAUAAGGAUACGAUGUUUGUUUGGGGAAAAAAACAUGUCAUAUUGGGUUACUUGUUAGUUCACCUUCUUAUCAAUUUUCAACUUAGAAAAUUGACAAAUACGGUUCUGGUUGGCUAAAUAUUGUUAUUAUCAUAGCAUAUGUACG